This 1459-nucleotide unclassified non-coding RNA is filed under the name Amphibalanus amphitrite. Its description in RNAcentral is "voltage-dependent anion-selective channel-like, transcript variant X2". The record is from RNAcentral. Lineage: Eukaryota; Metazoa; Arthropoda; Thecostraca; Balanomorpha; Balanidae.
ACGGGGCAUUGCGCGUGUGUGUUGAGGGCCCCUGCCUGCCCCUGCCUCUUGAAAACCUCUGUAAUCUGAUUCGGGCGGCGGGCGGUGCUCAGUCACUGAAUACGUAUUUUUUGUCUUGCUCAGGGACUGAAACUCUACAAACUUAGUGCAAUGGCUCCCCCGACGUAUGGCGACCUCGGCAAGUCUGCCCGCGAUGUGUUCGGCAAGGGCUUCCACUUUGGCCUGGUGAAGCUGGAGGCCAAGACGACGUCUGCCACGGGCGUGGCCUUCACGUCCACCUUCAGCCAGAACCUGGCCAGCGCUAAGGUGCUCGGAAACCUGGAGACCAAGUACAAGUGCAAGGAGCACGGUCUGACGCUGACUGAGAAGUGGAACACGGACAACACCCUCUCCACCGAUAUCACACUGGAGGAUAAGAUCUGCAAGGGCCUGAAGCUGACCCUGGACACUAGUCUGGCGCCACAGACCGGGAAGAAGUCUGCCGUUGCCAAGGCGACCUACAAACACGACAAGUGCACCAUCAACGCCGACGUCAAUCUGGACCCGAACGGACCCGUGGUGCAGGGCGCCGCCGUCGCCGGCUACCAGGGCUGGCUGGCCGGCUACCAGAUGUCGUUCGACACUGCCAAGUCCAAGCUGACUCGCUCCAACUUCGCACUGGGGUUCACCGCCAAGGACCUGACCGUACACACUGCCGUGUUGGACGGUCAACAGUUCACCGGCAGCGUCUUCAGCAAGGUGGCGCCCGACAUCGAGGGAGCCGUCGAGGUCGGAUGGACCGCCGGAUCCAACGCCACCAAGUUCGCCCUCGGCGCCAAGUAUUCUGUCGACAAGGACAGUAGCUUCCGCGCCAAGGUCAACAACAGCUCCGAGGUCGGCCUCGGCUACCAGCAGCGCAUCCGAGACGGUGUCACCCUGACGCUCUCCAGCAUGAUUGACGCCAAGAACUUCAACCAGGGCGGCCACAAGCUGGGCCUCUGCCUGGAGCUGGAGGCGUAAGCAGCUCGGCUUCGCUCGGGAGCAGAGACUGGCGAGAGUGGGAGCGUGAGAGAGAGAGAGAGGGAGAGAGAGCGGGAGAGCACGUGCACAUGUGGCGGGCGCGGCCCGGAGAGGACGUGUGAUCCGGUCUCGUAUAGCGUGACGUCAUCCACUCCUUAGGUGACGUCACCGGGGCGUUUAGGUGUGACGUCACUGGUGUUUAGCUAUGACGUCACUGGUGUCCAGCUGGGACGUCUCCGGGACUUGGUUUGGGUUUGGAGAUCGGUGUUUAGCCGGGCGGCGGCCGGCGGCGGCUGCUGAUUGGCUGCCGGUGGUUCGCGGCGGCCGCUGAUUGGCUGCCGGCCGGCCGACUGUGGUGUGACGUCAUUGUAUGGCCUCGCGCGGCGUGUGGUGCGAUUUGCAGGGGUAGGCGGCGGGUCCGCGGAAACCGAGACAAAUAUACACUGAGUAAGACGGGAAA